UUAAGGUAAAAUAAAAGCGCUUGUGGCCAGAAUGGGGUAGAUAUUUCUAAUUUACAUUACAAAGUGUUCUAAUAACAUUUUUUGGCAAUAUUGUGAGUUGUUUCCCUUUGUUCUCAACACAAUCAUGCUCAGACUUGAAUCUUUGAUAUCUAAAAUGUGAUAUUGUAUUUACAAUGGGAGAGCAUUACAUGUAAUCAUAUUAACAUCAUAAAUAAUUAGAAAAAAAG
This 227-nucleotide long non-coding RNA is filed under the name Mytilus galloprovincialis (Mediterranean mussel). The record is from RNAcentral. Lineage: Eukaryota; Metazoa; Mollusca; Bivalvia; Mytilida; Mytilidae.